GACUGUGCAAGGUAGCAUAAUCAUUAGUUUUUUAAUUGAAGACUUGAAUAAAUGGUUAAAUGAGAUAUUUAUUGUUUCUUUAUAUUUUUUAUUUAAUUUUAUAUUUUAGUUAAAAAGCUAAAAUUUUUAUUAAAGACGAGAAGACCCUAUAAAGCUUUAUAUUUUUAAAAAGAUUUUUAAUAAAAUAAUUUGAAAGAUUUUAUUUAAAAAUAUUUUAUUGGGGUGAUAAAAAAAUUUAAUAAACUUUUUUUUUAUUUUCAUUUAUUUAUGUUUUAAAAUUUAUUUUUUAAAAAUAAUUAUUUUUGAUCCUUUAUUUAUGAUUAAAAGUUUAAGUUACUUUAGGGAUAACAGCGUAAUUUUUUUGGAGAGUUCAAAUUUAUAAAAAAGAUUGCGACCUCGAUGUUGGACUAAGAGUAAAUUUUAGGUGUAGAAGUUUAAAAUUUUAAGUCUGUUCGACUUUUUAUUCUUACGUGAUCUGAGUUCAAACCGGUGUAAGCCAGG
This 501-nucleotide ribosomal RNA is filed under the name Echinocladius martini. RNAcentral describes it as "partial 16S ribosomal RNA". The stretch from base 344 to 501 matches the Rfam family "Bacterial large subunit ribosomal RNA", at positions 2473 to 2630 of the family's 2925-position model. The record is from RNAcentral. Lineage: Eukaryota; Metazoa; Arthropoda; Insecta; Diptera; Chironomidae.